UGGGGAAUAUUGGACAAUGGGGGAAACCCUGAUCCAGCCAUGCCGCGUGUGCGAUGAAGGCUUUCGGGUUGUAAAGCACUUUCAGUCGGGAGGAAAGGGUGCAGGCUAAUACCCUGUGCAGUUGACGUUACCGACAGAAGAAGCACCGGCAAACUCCGUGCCAGCAGCCGCGGUAAUACGGAGGGUGCGAGCGUUAAUCGGAAUUACUGGGCGUAAAGCGCGCGUAGGCGGUUACUUAAGCGAGAUGUGA
RNAcentral lists this ribosomal RNA (250 nucleotides) under uncultured bacterium. Its description in RNAcentral is "partial 16S ribosomal RNA". It matches the Rfam family "Bacterial small subunit ribosomal RNA", at positions 355 to 597 of the family's 1533-position model. The record is from RNAcentral.